AUUCAUUCCCUCUAGAGCGCUCGACAAAUGUUUACUGAGUGCCCACGGGGUGCCUAGAGCCUGGCGGGACGUCGCGGGGAUGCGGCUGGAGGAAUCGGAGCCGGCCCUGCCCUCUCGGCACUCGCGGUCCGGACCAGGAAGGCGGCCCGAGCAGGACGGGUGGGCUGCGGACCGCGGUGGGAAAAGUUGGGGGAGCGCGGAGGUGGCGCGGAAAUAGAAGGCUUCCUGGAAGCGGUGACCCUUGAGCCGGUCUUGCCCCUCAGUCCCUGUAUCCUUUUAAGCCAGCCACGCUGACCCCUCCGCGCCUCCCUGAAGCCGUUGCCAGCCUGUCUCUGCGCUCGCCAUUCCCUCCGCCUGGACCUCUCCCCACUCACCACCUCCCGCCCCCAUCAGACGCUGCUUUCUCCUCCCAGAGACCUCCAAGACCUGCCAAGCUGAGGUUGUUUCCUCGCCUCGCCCCUCGCACGUUUGUUUUCUUUCCUGUAGUUUCUCUUGCUGUCUGGAAUUGCUGUUUGAGU
Molecule: long non-coding RNA, 518 nt
Filed under: Homo sapiens (human)
Lineage: Eukaryota; Metazoa; Chordata; Mammalia; Primates; Hominidae
Description: HSALNT0402007
Source: RNAcentral